RNAcentral lists this RNase MRP RNA (372 nucleotides) under Dichomitus squalens LYAD-421 SS1. RNAcentral describes it as "RNase MRP". It matches the Rfam family "RNase MRP". Rfam says of the family: RNase MRP is an enzymatically active ribonucleoprotein with two distinct roles in eukaryotes. In mitochondria it plays a direct role in the initiation of mitochondrial DNA replication. In the nucleus it is involved in precursor rRNA processing, where it cleaves the internal transcribed spacer 1 between 18S and 5.8S rRNAs. Lineage: Eukaryota; Fungi; Basidiomycota; Agaricomycetes; Polyporales; Polyporaceae. The record is from Rfam by way of RNAcentral.
GCACUGUGCGAAGAACCGCCGUCGCAGCCCACGCACAGAGAGCCCCCCCCUCUCCUCCUACGCUGCGGGGAAAGUCCCCGGAGACGCAGAGCCCGUCCCCGUCCACGCUGCAAAGCUCUCGCCCCCAAGCACGGCGAGUCGGCGGACGGCCGGACGCCUUGCUUGUCUCUCUUCCUCUCUGGUCGAGACCCACCUCGCGCCGGCCAGCUCUGCUGCCCCCAGCGUCCUCUGCGUGCGGCGCGAAGAUACGAGCGCCGUCGCCCCGCCCGAGGUCCGCUGCCGCGCAAUCGUUGCUCAUAGACACAGUUAUGCGGUCGUGGCUCUCCCUCGCGGAGACCCCACGAACACAAUGGGGCUUACUCUCGUUCAGUG